GGCUUUGACAUAUGGGCCUUAUCUUAAUCGGGCUUUACAAUUAAACCAAACAGAUAUAAAAACAAGCAAAUCCUGACCUGGCAGUGGAUCUUCAUGUGUCAUCCUCAAAAACCAUAGAAUCUAAGAUAAGAAGAUAAGGGACACGUGUCAAAAAUCCAACACACAGAAACACAUUUUCCCCGAUUUACUAACGCACAACAAAACUCUUUCAUUCUCUUCUUACACCUUUUCUCCAGAGUUCCGACAAUGGCUUCAGCAUCAGCGACAGCUACUCUUCUCAAACCCAAUCUUCCGCCGCAUAAACCGACCAUCAUCGCCUCCUCCGUAUCUCCGCCUCUUCCUCCUCCACGUCGCAACCACCUCCUCCGCCGCGAUUUCCUCUCCCUGGCGGCAACAUCCACGCUUCUAACACAAUCGAUUCAGUUUCUAGCUCCGGCGCCGGUCUCCGCCGCUGAAGAUGAAGAGUAUAUCAAAGAUACGUCGGCAGUGAUCAGUAAAGUAAGGAGUACGCUUUCGAUGCAGAAGACAGAUCCGAAUGUGGCUGAUGCGGUGGCGGAGCUGAGAGAAGCGUCGAAUUCUUGGGUUGCCAAGUACCGGAAAGAGAAAGCUCUUCUCGGAAAAGCUUCUUUCCGGGAUAUAUACUCGGCGUUGAAUGCUGUUUCAGGUCAUUAUGUGAGUUUUGGUCCGACGGCUCCGAUUCCGGCGAAGAGGAAGGCGAGGAUUCUUGAAGAGAUGGAAACUGCUGAGAAAGCUCUCACAAGAGGAAGAUGAAAAAACUGCAGUCAGGCCUUCUUCUCCAUUUUCUUGUUGAUGAAAAUUUUAUUUUCCUAAAAAU
This 835-nucleotide long non-coding RNA is filed under the name Arabidopsis thaliana (thale cress). RNAcentral's name for it is "long non-coding RNA (ATHA_LNC000421)". The record is from RNAcentral. Lineage: Eukaryota; Viridiplantae; Streptophyta; Magnoliopsida; Brassicales; Brassicaceae.